UACGGGGGGUGCGAGCGUUGUCCGGAAUCACUGGGCGUAAAGGGCGCGUAGGUGGCCUGAUAAGGGUGUGGUGAAAGUCCGGGGCUUAACCCCGGAUCUGCCAUGCCGACUGUUAGGCUAGAGUGCUGUAGGGGCAGGCGGAAUUCCGGGUGUAGCGGUGGAAUGCGUAGAGAUCCGGAGGAAGACCGGUGGCGAAGGCGGCCUGCUGGGCAGAUACUGACACUGAGGCGCGACAGCGUGGGGAGCAAACAGG
This 253-nucleotide ribosomal RNA is filed under the name uncultured bacterium. RNAcentral's name for it is "partial 16S ribosomal RNA". It matches the Rfam family "Bacterial small subunit ribosomal RNA", at positions 524 to 776 of the family's 1533-position model. The record is from RNAcentral.